RNAcentral lists this ribosomal RNA (460 nucleotides) under uncultured bacterium. RNAcentral describes it as "partial 16S ribosomal RNA". It matches the Rfam family "Bacterial small subunit ribosomal RNA", at positions 338 to 795 of the family's 1533-position model. The record is from RNAcentral.
CCUACGGGAGGCAGCAGUGAGGAAUAUUGGUCAAUGGACGAGAGUCUGAACCAGCCAAGUAGCGUGAAGGAUGACUGCCCUAUGGGUUGUAAACUUCUUUUAUAUGGGAAUAAAAUGUUCCACGUGUGGGAUUUUGUAUGUACCAUAUGAAUAAGGAUCGGCUAACUCCGUGCCAGCAGCCGCGGUAAUACGGAGGAUCCGAGCGUUAUCCGGAUUUAUUGGGGUUAAAGGGAGCGUAGGUGGAUUGGUAAGUCAGUUGUGAAAGUUUGCGGCUCAACCGUAAAAUUGCAGUUGAAACUGGCAGUCGUGAGUACAGUAGAGGUGGGCGGAAUUCGUGGUGUAGCGGUGAAAUGCUUAGAUAUCACGAAGAACUCCGAUUGCGAAGGCAGCUCACUGGACUGCAACUGACACUGAGGCUCGAAAGUGUGGGUAUCAAACAGGAUUAGAUACCCCAGUAGUC